This is an RNA transcript of Sitophilus oryzae (rice weevil), 1416 nucleotides long. RefSeq lists it as uncharacterized. The transcript is spliced from 6 exons. Lineage: Eukaryota; Metazoa; Arthropoda; Insecta; Coleoptera; Curculionidae. The record is from RefSeq and is a predicted model, not a curated record.
AUCUCAACAAUAGAAAGACGUUUUGACAUAAGUAGAGAGCACAAAGAUGCCAGACUGAUCAUCACAUUCAUCAAAAUUUCAGCGAUGCAUACCCCUUUACCCAACUACAAAAUUCUCAUCCGCGAAAACACCAUCGGCAUUCUGGCCAAGCACAUCUUUCGAUUCUCGAACAGCUUGCACAAUGUUGGCAGCCAUCAGAAACAUGUUGGCCAGGCCCCAGUUCUUGAGACAUGGAGCUAUCAGCGGAGGGACUUUGGAAAAGGAAUCGAUGAACCAUUCCAGAAAUUUCAGUAAAGACAACUGCAGAGUUAUCGGUUCCGAAGACUGUCCCAUAAAAAGUCCACCACCCGACAGAACAAAAACAGGAAAAGAAUCGAUACCGUGUGUUCCAGAUUGCAGGGGAGGUAUUCCCAAUUUGCCAGCCAGAGCUUGUUUGCCUUGGGAGAAAAUAAGCGAAGCAUGUCCAAAUCAGCCACCACCAAGAAUUAUUCAGUCUCGAUGUUGCGAACACAUCUGCGAACCAUACGUAGGACAGGGAAUUGUCGAUAGACUGAAGAUGUCCGUCUGCGAAUACAGGAGGUUUCAAAAGUGUUUUAUGAAGCACGGUAAUGCGGAAAAGUGUAUGGGUCACAAGCUUACAUUCGAAUUCGCCAACAAGAUAUAUCCUAUGGCGCACGCGGUCAACAAAAGAUACCUGCCCGGCAGUCCAAGCACCACAGAGCGAUUUAUGAUACCUGAGCCGAACAAUGACUGUGACACCUGAUUGUUUAAUUGUUUCUAUGGAGGUAUUUCAGUAAAAUCAAAUUUUGAAAACAUGUGACAGUUUUAUUUCCGAUCAUUUCAUCUUUCAUUCCAUUUCAAAAUUCGCUGUAAAUUAUAAGAAAAAAAUGCUUAAACGUUUACAAAGACGGUAUUUUUCGAGCUUUAUCAACAAGAAUUGGUAUGGCGGAUGCGAAGAAUGUCCCGAAAAAGAAAGCACAAAAUACGUAGUUCAGAAAUCUUGUGGACCGUCAAUUUUCGAAGUUUGGAAACCCAAAAUACCGGAACUGACUUGCAACGUGUCAAAGAACAAAGCGCUGGCCCCACCCAACUUCUCAAAAACAUGUUUCGCCGGCAUGCAAACCUCCAAACCCGACAGAUGCGUAUCGGAUGCGCUAGCGCGCGAAUGUCAAAAAAGAAACCAUCCGAAAUGGUUGGCCAGAUGUCCUCCUAUGUCAAAAUACGAGAUACAACUUAAGGGUGAACUACCUCCCCUAAUAGAAGGAAAAGCUAAAUGUAAAGCAUCAAAAGGAAAAGCAGAAGUGAAAAAAGCAUCGGCGAAGUCUAUGAGAAAAAGUUGUAUAGGGAAAAUACCCGCACCUGACUGGAAUCCUAACGGAGUUUUAUAUUAAUAUGAAUGAAUAAAAAUAUCUAAAA